GUCCUCAUCGUCUAGUCGGCCAAGGACAUCGGCCUUUCACGCCGGUAACAGGGGUUCAAAUCCCCUUGAGGACGCCA
This 77-nucleotide transfer RNA is filed under the name Desulfovibrio sp. RNAcentral describes it as "tRNA-Glu". It matches the Rfam family "tRNA". Rfam says of the family: Transfer RNA (tRNA) molecules are approximately 80 nucleotides in length. Their secondary structure includes four short double-helical elements and three loops (D, anti-codon, and T loops). Lineage: Bacteria; Pseudomonadati; Thermodesulfobacteriota; Desulfovibrionia; Desulfovibrionales; Desulfovibrionaceae. The record is from RNAcentral.